CUCAUCGGGGGUUUCGUCCUGUGCCUGGUCGUCGGAAGUCUCUUCUUCAUGGCUUACGUCAUGAUCUCGGAGAGCGCGGCAGUUGGAGGCACGCGGAAGUGAUGAGUACGAGCUUCUCAUUUUCAACACAACCCUUGAAGAAAGCAAGACCACGUGAGCAUGUUAGCUCUCCAAGCAGCACAUCAUGGUUGAAUAUUUCGCCCCUACUCCAUCAAACAUCAACUUUGCGAUUUUCGUUAUGACUACACUUUGCCAUGCCCUGUGUUGUAUUGCUUGACCCUUGGCUACAAACAGUACUCCCUGCUGCUCCAAUGAAGUUUCAUGUCGCCAAGUGCAUAUUGUGAUCAGACCACGCAUCUCGAGACAUUCAUCCACAAAGAUGCUAGAGCAAGAACUCGGCAUUUUCACUUGUUCUCCGCUGAGAAGGACAUUGUUUAUUUGGGCAUUCAGGUACUUUGUACAAAAAUAAAGACACGACAUAUAUAAAAAGGUGUGAGAGACAGCUUUGGCUCUACUGUUUAUUCAAAAAAAUGUGUUUGAAAGCGCAGCAUAGCUGGUUGCUUGCAGAACACCAUAAAUUACUUUCUUUACAGGUAUGUACACAUCAUAAACUAUAUCUGAAACUCACAACAUACACAAGCGAGGAAAAUUAGCGUAUAUAAAUUAGAAGCUUGCUUGGGAGAUGCAGGGAAGCGAAAGGAAAAACAAAA
Long non-coding RNA from Rhipicephalus microplus (southern cattle tick), 710 nucleotides. NCBI's taxonomy places the organism in Eukaryota, Metazoa, Arthropoda, Arachnida, Ixodida, Ixodidae. The record is from RefSeq and is a predicted model, not a curated record.